This 325-nucleotide ribosomal RNA is filed under the name uncultured eukaryote. RNAcentral's name for it is "partial 18S ribosomal RNA". It matches the Rfam family "Eukaryotic small subunit ribosomal RNA", at positions 1470 to 1796 of the family's 1831-position model. The record is from RNAcentral.
CCCUUAGAUGUUCUGGGCCGCACGCGCGCUACACUGACUGGUGCAACAAGUGUCGCUCCUUGGCCGAUAGGCCUGGGCAAUCUUUGAACGCCAGUCGUGAUGGGGAUAGAUUCUUGCAAUUUUUGAUCUUCAACGAGGAAUUCCUAGUAAACGCGAGUCAUCAACUCGCAUUGAUUACGUCCCUGCCCUUUGUACACACCGCCCGUCGCACCUACCGAUUGAAUGGUCCGGUGAACCCUCCGGAUCGGCUCGCGCCAACGCAAGUUGAGCAAAGGCCGAGAAGUUGGGUAAACCUUACCAUUUAGAGGAAGGAGAAGUCGUAACA